This 466-nucleotide ribosomal RNA is filed under the name uncultured bacterium. RNAcentral describes it as "partial 16S ribosomal RNA". It matches the Rfam family "Bacterial small subunit ribosomal RNA", at positions 29 to 507 of the family's 1533-position model. The record is from RNAcentral.
AUGAACGCUGGCGGCGUGCUUAACACAUGCCAGUCGAACGGAAAGGCUCCUGCUUGCAGGGGUACUCGAGUGGCGAACGGGUGAGUAACACGUGGGUGAUCUGCCCUGCACUUCGGGAUAAGCCUGGGAAACUGGGUCUAAUACCGGAUAGGACCACAUUUUGGAUGGUGUGGUGGAAAGUUUUUCGGUGUGGGAUGAGCUCGCGGCCUAUCAGCUUGUUGGUGGGGUAAUGGCCUACCAAGGCGUCGACGGGUAGCCGGCCUGAGAGGGUGUACGGCCACAUUGGGACUGAGAUACGGCCCAGACUCCUACGGGAGGCAGCAGUGGGGAAUAUUGCACAAUGGGCGCAAGCCUGAUGCAGCGACGCCGCGUGGGGGAUGACGGCCUUCGGGUUGUAAACUCCUUUCGCUAGGGACGAAGCGUUUUUGUGACGGUACCUGGAGAAGAAGCACCGGCUAACUACGUG